RNAcentral lists this transfer RNA (72 nucleotides) under Rhipicephalus microplus (southern cattle tick). RNAcentral's name for it is "tRNA-Gln". It matches the Rfam family "tRNA". From Rfam's summary of the family: Transfer RNA (tRNA) molecules are approximately 80 nucleotides in length. Their secondary structure includes four short double-helical elements and three loops (D, anti-codon, and T loops). Further hydrogen bonds mediate the characteristic L-shaped molecular structure. tRNAs have two regions of fundamental functional importance: the anti-codon, which is responsible for specific mRNA codon recognition, and the 3' end, to which the tRNAs corresponding amino acid is attached (by aminoacyl-tRNA synthetases). tRNAs cope with the degeneracy of the genetic code in two manners: having more than one tRNA (with a specific anti-codon) for a particular amino acid; and 'wobble' base-pairing, i.e. permitting non-standard base-pairing at the 3rd anti-codon position. Lineage: Eukaryota; Metazoa; Arthropoda; Arachnida; Ixodida; Ixodidae. The record is from Rfam by way of RNAcentral.
GGUCUCAUGGUGUAAUGGUUAGCACUCUGGACUUUGAAUCCAGUGAUCCGAGUUCAAAUCUCGGAUAGACCU